This 429-nucleotide unclassified non-coding RNA is filed under the name uncultured Mycena. RNAcentral's name for it is "sequence contains ITS2". The stretch from base 1 to 154 matches the Rfam family "5.8S ribosomal RNA". The record is from RNAcentral. Lineage: Eukaryota; Fungi; Basidiomycota; Agaricomycetes; Agaricales; Tricholomataceae.
AACUUUUGACAAUGGAUCACUUGGCUCUCCUAUCGAUGAAGAACGCAGCGAAAUGCGAUAAGUAAUGUGAAUUGCAGAAUUCAGUGAAUCAUCGAAUCUUUGAACGCACCUUGCGCCCUUUGGUAUUCCGAAGGGCAUGCCUGUUUGAGUGUCAUUAAAUUAUCAACCUUGCUCGCUUUUACCGGCUUGAGUUAGGCUUGGAUGUGAGGGCUUUGCUGGCUUCCUUCAGUGGAUGGUCUGCUCCCUUUAAAUGCAUUAGUGGGAUCUCUUGUGGACCGUCACUUGGUGUGAUAAUUAUCUAUGCCUUUUGACUUUGAAGCAAACUAAUGGGAACCUGCUUAUAACCGUCUUCGGACAAUCUAUUGACAUUUUGACCUCAAAUCAGGUAGGACUACCCGCUGAACUUAAGCAUAUCAAUAAGCGGAGGCU